This 865-nucleotide long non-coding RNA is filed under the name Phascolarctos cinereus (koala). Its description in RNAcentral is "lncRNA (ENSPCIG00000013687.2)". The record is from RNAcentral. Lineage: Eukaryota; Metazoa; Chordata; Mammalia; Diprotodontia; Phascolarctidae.
AGCUGAUGGUUGAGAGUCAACAUUAGGGUUUUACUUCAGACGUAAGCUAAACAUGGCCCUCUCCCUUACAUACUAUUAACAUCUUGCUAAGAGAGUGUUUCCUGUUCACAGCAUGUACUGGAAUGAAUCUUGUUGAGCGACUCAUAAUCCAGGACUGAAGUUCCUCUGUGUAUCUGUAAAUUAAACUGCAAAAUGAAGAAGGAAGAAACUUAGCAUAGGGUUAUAUGUAAUGACAACUUGUCAAUGGGGAGGGAAUAGAAGCUUCAUCUACAAUUUAACAGCAGUUUUCCAGUGAAGCUCUCUUCCCAGGACAGGCAAGAGUAUCUAAUAAGGGAGCAGGAAUGGAGAUGGCAGGAGGCAGAGGAGAAGAGAAAACUCCUGAUGAAGAAAGAAGGAAGAAGCAAGCAGAAAUGUUUCAAGAAUCCAGGAAGCAGGAUAAUCUCUUCCAGGAUCUACGGAGGCCUUAUGUCAUUGAUUUCCAGGUUAUCUACCGCCUACAGAGAGCAGCUCUCAGAUUAUUCAUCAUGAAGGAGUGACCACAAAGGCUUAAAUAACUGCAGCACGGACUUCAGCAGACUCUAAUAUCUGGCAUAAGCCUUCUGUGAGCCAAUGAUUGGAAGGAACAUCGAAGACCAUCAAGUCCAUGUCCCAGCUGAAAAAAAGAGGCCAUCCACCAUAAAAUGAGAGAGAGACAGAGAGAGGGAGAGAAAGGAAAGGAGGGAGGGAGAGAGGGAGAGGGAGAGAGAGAGAGAUAGCGCUCAUCUAGCCUCUACCUGCAGAUCUUCAGUGAUGGGGAACCCAUGACCUCCCAAGUCAGCCCAUCGCACUUCUAGAAAGCUCCAAAUAAAGAAGUGUAUCCUUUUCA